This 541-nucleotide long non-coding RNA is filed under the name Panax ginseng (ginseng). RNAcentral describes it as "long non-coding RNA (PGIN_LNC013012)". The record is from RNAcentral. Lineage: Eukaryota; Viridiplantae; Streptophyta; Magnoliopsida; Apiales; Araliaceae.
GGGGAUCCGUCUGGUCGUGCUGAUGAUGAGUUGGUUGUCUCAGGACGAGGAGACGGCUCUUUUGGUCGCAUCUCAGGAUACUCCCAUUAGUACUAUCGGCCGGUAUCGAGUGCUGGGGUUACCGAGGAUACCAGCCUAGCUAUACACUGCCAGGAGGUAUAAUAUUUGUGUUUAUUUUGUGUUUAUGAAUAAAGUAAACUUGUAAUAUUAUUCAUGUUAUAUUUAUUUUUGUAGGCUUUAGCCAGCGUUUGCGUCCAAGAGCCCCCGUGGGACCAUCACAUACGGGUGUUGGCUUAGAUGAUGCUUUGUUCCAGCGUGUUAUGACUGUGGUGUCGAAGAGGUUUGAGACCGAUCCACUGUUCCAUCGUCAGGACCCGCUCAGCCGUUCUCGCCUCCAUCAGCUUGCGCAUGCCGUUGUAGCUGGUGCCACCGCAGAGAGUACGGGUAUCCCUCCGGAGCAGUGGGCCGCGAUACGCGAUGAGAUUGUUCGGAUGGUGGUUACCUUAGUCGAGGAUGCGUUUGAGCCGAUGUUGAGUCAGCG